RNAcentral lists this transfer RNA (76 nucleotides) under Pantoea sp. Nvir. RNAcentral's name for it is "tRNA-Ala". It matches the Rfam family "tRNA". From Rfam's summary of the family: Transfer RNA (tRNA) molecules are approximately 80 nucleotides in length. Their secondary structure includes four short double-helical elements and three loops (D, anti-codon, and T loops). Lineage: Bacteria; Pseudomonadati; Pseudomonadota; Gammaproteobacteria; Enterobacterales; Erwiniaceae. The record is from RNAcentral.
UGGGGUUAUAGCUCAGUUGGGAGAGCGCUUGCAUGGCAUGCAAGAGGUCAGCGGUUCGAUCCCGCUUAGCUCCAUC